UUUGCUUUGUGUGUUUUCAAACUUGGAGAUAAUUACACCCCUCCAACAAAUGUGGUUCCAGAUAUCAUGCCAUUUAACUGCCAGUGGAUUCUCUCCGUGUUGAACAAGGCCAUAUCAAAAACUGUGACAUCACUGGACUCGUAUGAAUUUUCUGAUGCUGCUACUGCAGUAUAUUCAUGGUGGCAGUUCCAGUUGUGUGAUGUGUUUAUUGAAGCCGUCAAGCCCUACUUUGCCAGUGAUGCUCAAGCAUUUGCUUCUGAAAGGAGUUAUGCACAAGACACCUUGUCGGUGUGUCUGGAAUAACUAAUUGGAUGAUGGGUUCUAUUGCUGUUUGUUUUGGUUGUUUAUCAUUUAUAAUGUGCUGGACAAAUGAGAAAGUAGAGUAUGAGAUGGAUAUGAUUGAGUCAGCCGUGAAAUCACUCAGGUCACUCAGGGCGUUGAUGCCUGCAAAAGAAAGGCAUGAAAGCACUCUCCGGUUGGCGUGAUGAGUUACGUAAAGACAUUGAACAGCUGUGUAUGCAGCAAGCUGGUCCUGGUUACCUUGCUGUGGCUACUCGAAUGCAUUUUCAGAGGUAUGCGUUGGCAUUAUCUUUUCAAAUUGGAAAUAAGAAUGCAUUGUGAAUUUAUCCCCCCCAUUAGGACAGCUGGCUUGGAGCAGGAGAUUGAGAGCUUGAAAAAGAA
This is a long non-coding RNA of Camellia sinensis, 681 nucleotides long. RefSeq lists it as uncharacterized. The record is from RefSeq and is a predicted model, not a curated record. NCBI's taxonomy places the organism in Eukaryota, Viridiplantae, Streptophyta, Magnoliopsida, Ericales, Theaceae.